UACGAAGGGGGCUAGCGUUGCUCGGAAUCACUGGGCGUAAAGCGCACGUAGGCGGCUUUGUAAGUUAGAGGUGAAAGCCCGGGGCUCAACUCCGGAACUGCCUUUAAGACUGCAUCGCUUGAAUCAUGGAGAGGUCAGUGGAAUUCCGAGUGUAGAGGUGAAAUUCGUAGAUAUUCGGAAGAACACCAGUGGCGAAGGCGACUGACUGGACAUGUAUUGACGCUGAGGUGCGAAAGCGUGGGGAGCAAACAGG
Molecule: ribosomal RNA, 253 nt
Filed under: uncultured bacterium
Lineage: Bacteria
Description: partial 16S ribosomal RNA
Rfam family: Bacterial small subunit ribosomal RNA
Source: RNAcentral